This 327-nucleotide long non-coding RNA is filed under the name Mytilus galloprovincialis (Mediterranean mussel). Lineage: Eukaryota; Metazoa; Mollusca; Bivalvia; Mytilida; Mytilidae. The record is from RNAcentral.
AACUCCAAUUGAAAAUUUCUUGCUAUUGAACAAUAUUGUGCAAUUAGAUAUUUCUUGCUAUUGCGCAAUACUGUGCAAUUGAAAAUACUUGCUAUUGCACAAUACUGUGCAAUUGAAGAUUUCUUGCUAUUGCACAAUACUGUGCAAUUGAAGAUUUCUUGCUAUUGUGCAAUACUGUGCAAUUGAAAAUUUCUUGCUAUUGCACAAUACUGUGCAAUUGAAGAUUUCUUGCUAUUGCUGAAUACUGUGCAAUUGAAAAGUUCUUGCUAUUGCACAAUACUUAAUAUAAUAAUUUUGGAUCCUGAUUUGGACCAACUUGAAAACUGG